GACAACGGCUGGCGGCGUGGAUUAGGCAUGCAAGUCGAACGGUAGGAUACCUUCGGGGUAUCUGAGAGUGGCGAACGGGUGAGUAACACGUAGGUGAUCUACCCUCAAGAUUGGGACAACCCAGGGAAACUUGGGCUAAUACCGGAUGAAAGCAGCAGUGAUGUUGUUUGAAAGGUGGCGUAAGCUGCCGUUUGGGGAUGAGCCUGCGCUCUAUUAGUUAGUUGGCGGGGUAAAGGCUUACCAAGGCGAUGAUAGAUAGGCGGCCUUAACGGGUGGUCGCCCACACUGGGAUUGAGAUACGGCCCAGACUCCGUACGGGAGGCAGCAGUCGAGAAUAGUCUACAAUGGACGAAAGUCUGAUAGUGCGACGCCGCGUGAACGAAGAAGCCCUUCGGGGUGUAAAGUUCUUUUAUAUGUGAGCAAUGCUUCCUAGGUGAAUAGUUUAGGGAGAGAGAUAUUAGCAUAUGAAUAAGCAACGGCUAACUCCGUG
This 490-nucleotide ribosomal RNA is filed under the name uncultured bacterium. RNAcentral's name for it is "bacterial SSU rRNA". It matches the Rfam family "Bacterial small subunit ribosomal RNA", at positions 35 to 507 of the family's 1533-position model. The record is from RNAcentral.